RNAcentral lists this ribosomal RNA (495 nucleotides) under uncultured bacterium. RNAcentral describes it as "partial 16S ribosomal RNA". It matches the Rfam family "Bacterial small subunit ribosomal RNA", at positions 28 to 507 of the family's 1533-position model. The record is from RNAcentral.
GACGAACGCUGGCGGCGUGCCUAAUACAUGCAAGUAGAACGCUGAAGGAGGAGCUUGCUUCUCUGGAUGAGUUGCGAACGGGUGAGUAACGCGUAGGUAACCUGCCUGGUAGCGGGGGAUAACUAUUGGAAACGAUAGCUAAUACCGCAUAAGAGUAGAUGUUGCAUGACAUUUGCUUAAAAGGUGCAAUUGCAUCACUACCAGAUGGACCUGCGUUGUAUUAGCUAGUUGGUGAGGUAACGGCUCACCAAGGCAACGAUACAUAGCCGACCUGAGAGGGUGAUCGGCCAACCUGGGACUGGGACACGGCCCAGACUCCUACGGGAGGCAGCAGUAGGGAAUCUUCGGCAAUGGACGGAAGUCUGACCGAGCAACGCCGCGUGAGUGAAGAAGGUUUUCGGAUCGUAAAGCUCUGUUGUAAGAGAAGAACGAGUGUGAGAGUGGAAAGUUCACACUGUGACGGUAUCUUACCAGAAAGGGACGGCUAACUACGUG